This 253-nucleotide ribosomal RNA is filed under the name uncultured bacterium. Its description in RNAcentral is "partial 16S ribosomal RNA". It matches the Rfam family "Bacterial small subunit ribosomal RNA", at positions 524 to 776 of the family's 1533-position model. The record is from RNAcentral.
UACGGAGGGGGCUAGCGUUGUUCGGAAUUACUGGGCGUAAAGCGCACGUAGGCGGCUUUGUAAGUUAGAGGUGAAAGCCUGGUGCUCAACACCAGAACUGCCUUUAAGACUGCAUCGCUUGAAUCAUGGAGAGGCGGGUGGAAUUCCGAGUGUAGAGGUGAAAUUCGUAGAUAUUCGGAAGAACACCAGUGGCGAAGGCGGCCCGCUGGACAUGUAUUGACGCUGAGGUGCGGAAGCGUGGGGAGCAAACAGG